Molecule: ribosomal RNA, 492 nt
Filed under: uncultured bacterium
Lineage: Bacteria
Description: partial 16S ribosomal RNA
Rfam family: Bacterial small subunit ribosomal RNA
Source: RNAcentral
AGUGAACGCUGGCGGUAGGCCUAACACAUGCAAGUCGAACGGCAGCACAGUAAGAGCUUGCUCUUACGGGUGGCGAGUGGCGGACGGGUGAGGAAUACAUCGGAAUCUACUUUUUCGUGGGGGAUAACGUAGGGAAACUUACGCUAAUACCGCAUACGACCUACGGGUGAAAGCAGGGGAUCUUCGGACCUUGCGCGAUUGAAUGAGCCGAUGUCGGAUUAGCUAGUUGGCGGGGUAAAGGCCCACCAAGGCGACGAUCCGUAGCUGGUCUGAGAGGAUGAUCAGCCACACUGGAACUGCACCACGGUCCAGACUCCUACGGGAGGCGGCAGUGGGGAAUAUUGGACAAUGGGCGCAAGCCUGAUCCAGCCAUACCGCGUGGGUGAAGAAGGCCUUCGGGUUGUAAAGCCCUUUUGUUGGGAAAGAAAAGCAGCAGGUUAAUACCCCGCUGUUCUGACGGUACCCAAAGAAUAAGCACCGGCUAACUUCGUG